Molecule: ribosomal RNA, 253 nt
Filed under: uncultured bacterium
Lineage: Bacteria
Description: partial 16S ribosomal RNA
Rfam family: Bacterial small subunit ribosomal RNA
Source: RNAcentral
UACGUAGGGUGCGAGCGUUGUCCGGAAUUAUUGGGCGUAAAGAGCUCGUAGGCGGUUUGUUGCGUCGGCCGUGAAAACCUGCAGCUUAACUGUGGGCCUGCGGCCGAUACGGGCAGACUUGAGUUCGGUAGGGGAGACUGGAAUUCCUGGUGUAGCGGUGAAAUGCGCAGAUAUCAGGAGGAACACCGGUGGCGAAGGCGGGUCUCUGGGCCGAUACUGACGCUGAGACGCGAAAGCGUGGGGAGCAAACAGG